AUGAACGCUGGCGGCGUGCCUAAUACAUGCAAGUCGAGCGAACAGACGAGGAGCUUGCUCCUCUGACGUUAGCGGCGGACGGGUGAGUAACACGUGGAUAACCUACCUAUAAGACUGGGAUAACUUCGGGAAACCGGAGCUAAUACCGGAUAAUAUAUUGAACCGCAUGGUUCAAUAGUGAAAGACGGUUUUGCUGUCACUUAUAGAUGGAUCCGCGCCGCAUUAGCUAGUUGGUAAGGUAACGGCUUACCAAGGCAACGAUGCGUAGCCGACCUGAGAGGGUGAUCGGCCACACUGGAACUGAGACACGGUCCAGACUCCUACGGGAGGCAGCAGUAGGGAAUCUUCCGCAAUGGGCGAAAGCCUGACGGAGCGACGCCGCGUGAGUGAUGAAGGUCUUCGGAUCGUAAAACUCUGUUAUUAGGGAAGAACAAAUGUGUAAGUAACUAUGCACGUCUUGACGGUACCUAAUCAGAAAGCCACGGCUAACUACGUG
Molecule: ribosomal RNA, 496 nt
Filed under: uncultured bacterium
Lineage: Bacteria
Description: partial 16S ribosomal RNA
Rfam family: Bacterial small subunit ribosomal RNA
Source: RNAcentral